This 263-nucleotide ribosomal RNA is filed under the name uncultured bacterium. RNAcentral describes it as "partial 16S ribosomal RNA". It matches the Rfam family "Bacterial small subunit ribosomal RNA", at positions 524 to 786 of the family's 1533-position model. The record is from RNAcentral.
UACGUAGGGAGCAAGCGUUGUCCGGAAUUACUGGGCGUAAAGGGCGCGUAGGCGGAUAAUUAAGUCAGGUGUGAAAACUCUGGGCUCAACCUGGAGAUUGCACUUGAAACUGGUUAUCUUGAGGGCAGGAGAGGAAAGUGGAAUUCCUAGUGUAGCGGUGAAAUGCGUAGAUAUUAGGAGGAACACCAGUGGCGAAGGCGACUUUCUGGACUGCACCUGACGCUGAGGCGCGAAAGCGUGGGGAGCGAACGGGAUUAGAUACC